This is a long non-coding RNA of Tympanuchus pallidicinctus (lesser prairie-chicken), 403 nucleotides long. RefSeq lists it as uncharacterized. The record is from RefSeq and is a predicted model, not a curated record. Lineage: Eukaryota; Metazoa; Chordata; Aves; Galliformes; Phasianidae. The transcript is spliced from 4 exons.
GGAGUUCUUGGCUUCAAUGCUGGUUGUGUUGCUGACCUCCAGUGGUUGCUCCUUCCUUGAUGGCACGAAGGACAUGCAUAGAACCUGCAGUGUCAAUGAACUUGCAACCACGAUAAACGUUAUAUUCUUCAUAACUGACAACGGCAACAUUUGAAGCUGCCUGGAACUGGUGCUGUUCCCAAAGGUUUUGAGGGGCAAUUGAUAUAACCCUAAAUGAGGAAGGUAAAUAUUUGCAUGCCUACUGAGGGUCAAGGGGGAAGAGAGUGCAUCUGAAGAAAAGAGGCCUUCUGGUCACGCUGUAAAUGCUCCGGAGUGGCGAGAAGCCCUUGGAAGCUGUUAGGAUGGAAUCUGCCCGUGGAGAAAUCGAGGUGGAACUGUAAGAUAAUAAGGACAGGCAAUGAGC